Long non-coding RNA from Gallus gallus (chicken), 2250 nucleotides. The record is from Ensembl. Lineage: Eukaryota; Metazoa; Chordata; Aves; Galliformes; Phasianidae.
AUUUAAGGGCUGGCAGUGGUAGCAAGGAGGUCUUGCUGGAGAUCCUUGGGUACCUGACAUCUUCUGAAGUAACAGGGCUGCAUGACACAAGCGGCUUCAAGAAACAUGUCCUGAGGGUAGUGCUCAUCUUUCUGAGCUCUGGAUGUCCAGAUCAUUGUGUUGCUUCCCAUUGGAAUCCUAACUGUGCCCUGCUGAAGUUUCACGGAUGGCCAGCUGUCUGCUCAAACACCCAGAGGAUAUUUGUGCAUCUUUCACCCCAUCAGCCUGCUCCUGCAGGACCUGAAUUUAUGUUGCUUGGGCUGUAAACCCCCUGCACAGCCUCCCAGUGGUCUGGAUGGAUACCUAAUUUGCUUUCAGCAUCGCAUAUCCACUUUCGACAUCAGAGGAUACAGUUUCUGAGCUUUGCAGAAGUUUUAGCUGCUCAACUACCAUUAAAGUCAAUUGGAUCAUGUGGCUAAAGUAACAUAUAACAAUUGGAGAAUGCACUCCAGGGUUAAACUGCUGUACUUGAGCUAUUAGAUUGAAAGAAUUAUCCAUCUUCCAAAACACAACCUGCAUUGCCACAGCAUGGUGCCCCCUAUUCAUCACCUCCAGACACUGAAAGCUGCUUUCAGCCCUGGUGUAAAUGAAGUUGCCAUAUCAUUUGAAUCACGCAGCUUAAGCCAGAGCUGGAUCUGUCCCACACAGAGCUGCUGAGUUUUCAAUGCAAGAGAGGCCCAGGGUAAUUGGCACUGGUCUGUGAGCAUCGCAGGAAAGAGAAAGAAAAGGAGUUAUUGAAAUAAAGUGGAGAGACUCUCCUUUGAAAACUGGAAUGAAAUGAAAACAGAAGGAAGAACAGAGUUUGUGGCCCUUCCCACACCUGGCUCUUCAGAGCAUCCUCUUCCCGCUGGCAUCAAGGGCUCCAGGGCAGAAGCAGGUGAUGCAAUGGUCAUCUCUGCCAACUUUUAAAAACUUGGGAAGAACUCUUCACUUUCAGAACAAGAACUUGCUGCUAAAUACGGUAAUUAUGGUCGCAGGAUAGUCUUCUUUUCUUGGAUUUUUGUGACUGAACAAAUUAUUUUUCUGCCCAAGACAACAAGGUAUUUUUAUAGACUGCACCUAAUUGCACAGCAACAGCAGAAUGGGAAGAAGCCACAGGCCUCAAACAGAUUGUGUCUCGUUCUUCCAAAAUGAGAGGCAGAACUAAUCAGUCUGCAGAAGGACUCAGUAACCAAUUAACUAACUCCUAGCAGUCAGUAAAAUAACCCUUGUGAGAGAGGGAAGGUAAUGAAGCUACCCUGUCAGCUUUACAAUGAGAUCCCUUGAUAUCUGAAAAUAUAAAACAUUUUUAUACUCAUUUUCUGUACAUUUUCCAGCCCAUUUCCUACCAUAAAAUGAAAUAAUGUGCCAAUAAAUGCAGUAUUUAAAAUUUUGUGCCUUACUGUGCUAACGUUCAGGCUGGAUAUGCCAUGGGUAAGCCAAAGAGCACUGCCAUACCUGGAAGAAACCAAAAGAUUUUCCUACUCACAGUGAUAGCUGCUUAAGUGGAUGAGCAUUGUCCUUGUCUUGAUCUCGAGUCAUAGAGUCAUAAGGCUUGGAGAAGGCCACUAAGAUCAUCUAGUUCAACCAUCCAGACCUGAGCUCUUCCACUCUAUUGUUUCCACGUGUGAUGUUUUAUCUUUGGUCUGCCUUCAGUGCGUCUCAGGUCAAAGUCACCUCUUGGUAAUUUCUGUAAUACUGAUCCUCCUGAAGACGGUAAUACAGGUUUAUAUAAAAUAGAUGACAGAAUGAAGACAAGAUACCAGAUUUCGUGAUUCACAGCCCACUGCUCUUCUUGUGAUGUCUAAUUGCUGCCAGGAAGCCCCUCGGUAGAUCAAGAUGCAAUAUUCCCACCAGAUCCUAUACACAUGAGCAGAUGCAUGGGACCCAUCCCUGGUUUUGCUGAUUCACUUGAAUUCGAUCACAUAAAAAAGUGACUGCUUUUCAGCAUAAAAGUUCAUCAUGAUCCUCAUAUCAUCAACACAUCUGUGGUAGCACCCUUCUGCGGAUCAUCUGAAUUGCUUUGAUGUUACCUGCUGGAUUGUAAAUGGGUAGCAGGAGCAUUGGAAAGCCUCAAAACCUUCUCCUCCGGGUAACCAUGUGUCUGGCACAGCACUGAGAAGAAUGAUGGGUCCCUGUCCCAAACACCAGAUUAAUUGCUUUGGUCAUGUGGCCUAACCUUGUCCACCAUGAGUUCUACAUCUGUUUUUUCUUAUUAUUAAACAAAAAAAC